UACAAUCAGCAGGGAAUUGGGAUGGAAC
Molecule: small RNA, 28 nt
Filed under: Bombyx mori (domestic silkworm)
Lineage: Eukaryota; Metazoa; Arthropoda; Insecta; Lepidoptera; Bombycidae
Description: ovarian small RNA-20136
Source: RNAcentral